RNAcentral lists this unclassified non-coding RNA (505 nucleotides) under Hevea brasiliensis (rubber tree). Lineage: Eukaryota; Viridiplantae; Streptophyta; Magnoliopsida; Malpighiales; Euphorbiaceae. The record is from RNAcentral.
GUCUUUCCCAGUCAAAUAUCCAGUAACAAGGACAUGCACUCCCCCAUUGAAGGACUCUUGGGAAUCCACAGACUUAAUCUCUGCUCUGAAGUCCGCAUAGUUAAGUGACAGUAUCUUAUCAUUGAUAGCUUGCAUUGUGGACGUAAUGCUCAUGGAGCCAUCAUCUUCAGGGCGACCAAGCUUGCUAAUAUCCUGAUAAAACCUAAAUACCAGCCCUGGUGAAUGGUGAAGUAUAUGAUAAUACUGCUGCACAAAUGCAUUUCCCACAACUUGAGCAGACACAGGUGGUUGAGCCGCCGCCAUCGCCGAUCGAUCUCAAGUCACAAACAGGAGCAAUAAAAUAGGAGAGAAAGAAAGAGAGAGAAAUAUGCUCUUUCCCUCUAAGCUUCUUCUCCUUUAAUCAACUCUCUCAGAUACACAAAGUGACACACAUAAACGUACACACACACUCUCGCCUAUGGAGAUUUGUGUGUAUUUUAGGGUUUUGGUAGGUAGCGAGUGGUGG